AUAAAAAUGUCUUAUGCCUGAUUUGUGUGCUUUUGUGUUUUUCUAGCAUUAAACAUUAAAUAACCAAAAAGAUAUAUAAUAGCAUGUAAAGUAGAUAAAGGUAUCUGAAAUCAAAACAACAGACAAAAUUAAAAAAUAAAAACGUUGACUACAUGUAAUGAAAGGGUGCAACUGAUGUUCACGCCUGUAAGCCUGUAAAGUUUAGGGUACUUUUUUUAAUGUCUAUUUUUUUUUUUUAUUUAAAUUUUUUUUAAA
Sinocyclocheilus anshuiensis is the source of this 255-nucleotide long non-coding RNA. RefSeq lists it as uncharacterized. Lineage: Eukaryota; Metazoa; Chordata; Actinopteri; Cypriniformes; Cyprinidae. The record is from RefSeq and is a predicted model, not a curated record. The transcript is spliced from 3 exons.